UACGGGGGGGGCAAGCGUUGUUCGGAAUUACUGGGCGUAAAGGGCGCGUAGGCGGCCUGCUAAGUCGAACGUGAAAUCCCUGGGCUCAACCCAGGAACUGCGUCCGAUACUGGUUGGCUUGAAUCCGGGAAAGGGAUGUGGAAUUCCAGGUGUAGCGGUGAAAUGCGUAGAUAUCUGGAGGAACACCGGUGGCGAAGGCGACAUCCUGGACCGGCAUUGACGCUGAGGCGCGAAAGCCAGGGGAGCAAACGGG
This 253-nucleotide ribosomal RNA is filed under the name uncultured bacterium. RNAcentral describes it as "partial 16S ribosomal RNA". It matches the Rfam family "Bacterial small subunit ribosomal RNA", at positions 524 to 776 of the family's 1533-position model. The record is from RNAcentral.